CACACAUUAUACAAGUAAUCAACAACUGCCCUACUUGAAGCAGAGGUAUACCAGUCCUAAGUGCUCACACUAUACAAGUAAUCAACAACUGCCCUACUUGAAGCAGAGGUAUACCAGUCCUAAGUGCUCACACUAUACAAGUAAUCAACA
This is a long non-coding RNA of Dreissena polymorpha, 150 nucleotides long. RefSeq lists it as uncharacterized. Lineage: Eukaryota; Metazoa; Mollusca; Bivalvia; Myida; Dreissenidae. The record is from RefSeq and is a predicted model, not a curated record. The transcript is spliced from 3 exons.